CGAGUUUGAUCCUGGCUCAGAACGAACGCUGGCGGCAGGCCUAACACAUGCAAGUCUAGCGCGCCCUUCGGGGUGAGCGGCGGACGGGUGAGUAACGCGUGGGAACGUACCCUUUGCUACGGAAUAGUCUCGGGAAACUGGGGGUAAUACCGUAUGAGCCCUUCGGGGGAAAGAUUUAUCGGCAAAGGAUCGGCCCGCGUUGGAUUAGGUAGUUGGUGGGGUAAUGGCCCACCAAGCCGACGAUCCAUAGCUGGUUUGAGAGGAUGAUCAGCCACAAUGGGACUGAGACAAGGCCCAUACCCCUACGGGGGGCAGCAGUGGGGAAUCUUGCGCAAUGGACGAAAGUCUGACGCAGCGAUCUCGCGUGAAGGAUGAAGCUUUGCGGAGUGUAAACUUCUUUUCUGGGAGAAAACGACUGAUGGUAUCUCAAGAAUAAGGGACGGCUAACUACGUG
RNAcentral lists this ribosomal RNA (454 nucleotides) under uncultured bacterium. Its description in RNAcentral is "bacterial SSU rRNA". It matches the Rfam family "Bacterial small subunit ribosomal RNA", at positions 9 to 507 of the family's 1533-position model. The record is from RNAcentral.